CCUACGGGAGGCUGCAGUAGGGAAUAUUGGACAAUGGGGGCAACCCUGAUCCAGCCAUGCCGCGUGUGUGAAGAAGGCCCUCGGGUUGUAAAGCACUUUCAGUGAGGAAGAACGCCUGGUGGUUAAUACCCAUCAGGAAAGACAUCACUCACAGAAGAAGCACCGGCUAACUCCGUGCCAGCAGCCGCGGUAAUACGGAGGGUGCGAGCGUUAAUCGGAAUUACUGGGCGUAAAGCGCGCGUAGGUGGCUUGAUAAGCCGGUUGUGAAAGCCCCGGGCUCAACCUGGGAACGGCAUCCGGAACUGUCAAGCUAGAGUGCAGGAGAGGAAGGUAGAAUUCCCGGUGUAGCGGUGAAAUGCGUAGAGAUCGGGAGGAAUACCAGUGGCGAAGGCGGCCUUCUGGACUGACACUGACACUGAGGUGCGAAAGCGUGGGUAGCAAACAGGAUUAGAUACCCUGGUAGUC
RNAcentral lists this ribosomal RNA (465 nucleotides) under Vreelandella stevensii. RNAcentral's name for it is "partial 16S ribosomal RNA". It matches the Rfam family "Bacterial small subunit ribosomal RNA", at positions 338 to 795 of the family's 1533-position model. Lineage: Bacteria; Pseudomonadati; Pseudomonadota; Gammaproteobacteria; Oceanospirillales; Halomonadaceae. The record is from RNAcentral.